CAGCACCUCAAGUGGUCAGGAUGAUUAUUGGGCCUAAAGCAUCCGUAGCCGGCUCUGUAAGUUUUCGGUUAAAUCUGUACGCUCAACGUACAGGCUGCCGGGAAUACUGCAGAGCUAGGGAGUGGGAGAGGUAGACGGUACUCGGUAGGAAGGGGUAAAAUCCUUUGAUCUAUUGAUGACCACCUGUGGCGAAGGCGGUCUACCAGAACACGUCCGACGGUGAGGGAUGAAAGCUAGGGGAGCGAACCGGAUUAGAGACCCGAGUAGUCC
RNAcentral lists this ribosomal RNA (270 nucleotides) under uncultured archaeon. RNAcentral describes it as "partial 16S ribosomal RNA". It matches the Rfam family "Archaeal small subunit ribosomal RNA", at positions 477 to 747 of the family's 1478-position model. The record is from RNAcentral.